UACUCCGGGAAACCGGGGCUAAUACCGGAUGGUUGUUUGAACCGCAUGGUUCAAACAUAAAAGGUGGCUUCGGCUACCACUUACAGAUGGACCCGCGGCGCAUAGCUAGUUGGUGAGGUAACGGCUCACCAAGGCGACGAUGCGUAGCCGACCUGAGAGGGUGAUCGGCCACACUGGGACUGAGACACGGCCCAGACUCCUACGGGAGGCAGCAGUAGGGAAUCUUCCGCAAUGGACGAAAGUCUGACGGAGCAACGCCGCGUGAGUGAUGAAGGUUUUCGGAUCGUAAAGCUCUGUUGUUAGGGAAGAACAAGUACCGUUCGAAUAGGGCGGUACCUUGACGGUACCUAACCAGAAAGCCACGGCUAACUACGUGCCAGCAGCCGCGGUAAUACGUAGGUGGCAAGCGUUGUCCGGAAUUAUUGGGCGUAAAGGGCUCGCAGGCGGUUUCUUAAGUCUGAUGUGAAAGCCCCCGGCUCAACCGGGGAGGGUCAUUGGAAACUGGGGAACUUGAGUGCAGAAGAGGAGAGUGGAAUUCCACGUGUAGCGGUGAAAUGCGUAGAGAUGUGGAGGAACACCAGUGGCGAAGGCGACUCUCUGGUCUGUAACUGACGCUGAGGAGCGAAAGCGUGGGGAGCGAACAGGAUUAGAUACCCUGGUAGUCCACGCCGUAAACGAUGAGUGCUAAGUGUUAGGGGGUUUCCGCCCCUUAGUGCUGCAGCUAACGCAUUAAGCACUCCGCCUGGGGAGUACGGUCGCAAGACUGAAACUCAAAGGAAUUGACGGGGGCCCGCACAAGCGGUGGAGCAUGUGGUUUAAUUCGAAGCAACGCGAAGAACCUUACCAGGUCUUGACAUCCUCUGACAAUCCUAGAGAUAGGACGUCCCCUUCGGGGGCAGAGUGACAGGUGGUGCAUGGUUGUCGUCAGCUCGUGUCGUGAGAUGUUGGGUUAAGUCCCGCAACGAGCGCAACCCUUGAUCUUAGUUGCCAGCAUUCAGUUGGGCACUCUAAGGUGACUGCCGGUGACAAACCGGAGGAAGGUGGGGAUGACGUCAAAUCAUCAUGCCCCUUAUGACCUGGGCUACACACGUGCUACAAUGGACAGAACAAAGGGCAGCGAAACCGCGAGGUUAAGCCAAUCCCACAAAU
RNAcentral lists this ribosomal RNA (1149 nucleotides) under Bacillus subtilis. Its description in RNAcentral is "bacterial SSU rRNA". It matches the Rfam family "Bacterial small subunit ribosomal RNA", at positions 145 to 1281 of the family's 1533-position model. The record is from RNAcentral. Lineage: Bacteria; Bacillati; Bacillota; Bacilli; Caryophanales; Bacillaceae.